Molecule: ribosomal RNA, 253 nt
Filed under: uncultured bacterium
Lineage: Bacteria
Description: partial 16S ribosomal RNA
Rfam family: Bacterial small subunit ribosomal RNA
Source: RNAcentral
UACGUAGGGGGCGAGCGUUGCCCGGAAUCAUUGGGCGUAAAGGGCGCGCAGGCGGCCUGAUUAGUCGUGGGUGAAAUCGUUCGGCUCAACCGAGCGGGGUCCUGCGAAACGGUCGGGCUGGAGCAAGGCAGGGGGUCGUGGAAUUCCCGGUGUAGUGGUGGAAUGCGUAGAGAUCGGGAGGAACACCAGUGGCGAAGGCGGCGACCUGGGCCUGUGCUGACGCUGAGGCGCGAAAGCGUGGGGAGCGAUCCGG